UACGAAGGGGGCUAGCGUUGUUCGGAAUUACUGGGCGUAAAGGGCGUGUAGGCGGACCAAUCAGUCAGGGGUGAAAUCCCGGGGCUCAACCUCGGAACUGCCUUUGAUACUGUUGGUCUUGAGGACGGGAGAGGGUCGUGGAAUUCCCAGUGUAGAGGUGAAAUUCGUAGAUAUUGGGAAGAACACCGGUGGCGAAGGCGGCGACCUGGACCGUAUCUGACGCUGAGGCGCGAAAGCAUGGGGAGCAAACAGG
This 253-nucleotide unclassified non-coding RNA is filed under the name uncultured Alphaproteobacteria bacterium. Its description in RNAcentral is "contains 16S-23S intergenic spacer region". It matches the Rfam family "Bacterial small subunit ribosomal RNA", at positions 524 to 776 of the family's 1533-position model. Lineage: Bacteria; Pseudomonadati; Pseudomonadota; Alphaproteobacteria. The record is from RNAcentral.